CAUUUUUCCAUCUAACCUUCAUAAUUGCCACUCUGGAGACUGCAUCACAGUACAUUAAGAUACUCUGAGAAUCCAUCCUUUCAAAACAAACUAAACUUAAGCUGUAUCAUGGGGAUGGGGAUUACUUGUUUUCAAAAACAGUCACCACCAGCUACAUGUGACUACAAAGCUUGAAAUGUAAAUAGUACAAAUUGAGAUGUGAAAAAAAAAGGAAGGAAGGAAAAAAGCCCAAACAGGAUCCAAGUUUGUCUUGGCAAUUUCAUACAUCCCUGUUUCAUAAUGGUAAAUAGCCUAAGGACAAAGUGAAGGAUUCCAGUGCCUCUAUUCUGCAAAGCUUGCACCGUAAGGAAGGAGCAUGGGCUCCAUCACAGAGCUGUCUGGAACAAAGCUCUGCCUUCACAGCAUUUGCCAAGCCACCUCCACACAUCUACAAUUUAUGCCAUUGGUAUCUUCCUGCCACUUUGCAUGGGACCACGUAUUUAUAU
This is a long non-coding RNA of Mesocricetus auratus (golden hamster), 485 nucleotides long. RefSeq lists it as uncharacterized. Lineage: Eukaryota; Metazoa; Chordata; Mammalia; Rodentia; Cricetidae. The transcript has 3 exons. The record is from RefSeq and is a predicted model, not a curated record.